UACGAAGGGGGCUAGCGUUGCUCGGAAUCACUGGGCGUAAAGAGCUCGUAGGCGGUUUGUCGCGUCGAAUGUGAAAACCCGGGGCUCAACCCCGGGCCUGCAUUCGAUACGGGCAGACUAGAGUUCGGUAGGGGAGUCUGGAAUUCCUGGUGUAGCGGUGAAAUGCGCAGAUAUCAGGAGGAACACCGGUGGCGAAGGCGGGACUCUGGGCCGAUACUGACGCUGAGGAGCGAAAGCGUGGGGAGCAAACAGG
RNAcentral lists this ribosomal RNA (253 nucleotides) under uncultured bacterium. RNAcentral's name for it is "partial 16S ribosomal RNA". It matches the Rfam family "Bacterial small subunit ribosomal RNA", at positions 524 to 776 of the family's 1533-position model. The record is from RNAcentral.